RNAcentral lists this ribosomal RNA (399 nucleotides) under uncultured bacterium. RNAcentral's name for it is "partial 16S ribosomal RNA". It matches the Rfam family "Bacterial small subunit ribosomal RNA", at positions 360 to 774 of the family's 1533-position model. The record is from RNAcentral.
AAUAUUGCACAAUGGAGGGAAAUCUGAUACAGCACCGCCUCGUGAGUGAAGAAGGUUUUCGGAGAGUAAAACUUUGUCAUUGGGGAAAAAUAAAUGACGGUACCCACUGAGGAAUCCGCGGCUAAUCACUUGCCAGCAGCCGCGGUAAUACGUAGGGGGCGAGCGUUGUCCGGAAUUACUGGGCGUAAAGGGUACGUAGGCGGCUAUAUAAGUCAGGUGUGAAAUACCAGUGCUUAACACUGGAAUUGCAUUUGAAACUGUGUAGCUUGAGUGCAGGAGAGGAAAGUGGAAUUCCUAGUGUAGCGGUGAAAUGCGUAGAGAUUAGGAGGAACACCAGUGGCGAAGGCGACUUUCUGGACUGUAACUGACGCUGAGGUACGAAAGCGUGGGUAGCGAACA